RNAcentral lists this transfer RNA (128 nucleotides) under Elsinoe australis. RNAcentral's name for it is "tRNA-Ile". It matches the Rfam family "tRNA". From Rfam's summary of the family: Transfer RNA (tRNA) molecules are approximately 80 nucleotides in length. Lineage: Eukaryota; Fungi; Ascomycota; Dothideomycetes; Myriangiales; Elsinoaceae. The record is from RNAcentral.
GGUUCCUUAGCUCAGUUGGUUAGAGCGUGGUAAGUCCGAUACAACAAAAUAGAUUAUUAGAUGAUGUACUAAUCGAGUCUUAGGUGCUAAUAACGCCAAGGUCGCGAGUUCGACCCUCGUAGGGACCA